Non-coding RNA from Podospora conica, 88 nucleotides. NCBI's taxonomy places the organism in Eukaryota, Fungi, Ascomycota, Sordariomycetes, Sordariales, Podosporaceae. The record is from the annotation of a GenBank genome assembly.
GCCCGGAUGGUCUAGCGGUAUGAUUCUCGCUUAGGGUUCACCCUGAGUUAAAUGCGAGAGGUCCCCGGUUCAAUCCCGGGUUCGGGCC